AAAGGUUAAAUUAAUGCAAGAACAAGGUGUAUUAUUGCUAUUUGAGUCCCACUGGGAAGGAAAGAUAAGAAGGCCUGGAAGAAAAAUCAGCACUCUACUCUGCAGUGCCCUUAAACUUUAAAAGAUCUAUAUGGACUUCGCCUCUUUGUUAUAUCUAUAAAUAGGAUAGUUUCUUUUUACUUACACUUUUGCUUUUCAUAUGGAAAAUACAUAUUUGAAAGACCUUUUGACACAUUGUUCCUGAAUUUAUCAAAAACUAUUGUGUACUGAUAGACUGACAGAUAAACUUGAGGUAGUCAGGGAGAGAGAAAUUAACUAAAACGUGAUAUUUGAGUGAAAAUUAAUUUUAUAAGCUUUUGGUUCACUGGAGAGUACUUUUGUAGUAUAAUGAUUUUUGAUUUCGUAUGUAGACAUUUACCUGUGGGGAUAUGGAUAAUCAUUCUUGGAUAAGGAGAAUUCUUUUUCCUGAUAAUAAUCACAUUAAGGAGCAUGGGCAGCACUAUAGUUUUUACUCUUGGACUCUAUCUUUAUCGCUUGAGCUAUAAACACAGAGGAAGUUUUAGGUGAGUGUAUAUCACGUGGGUAUAAGACAAAGGAGUUAGAUUCAGACAUUGUUUUAAAAAUAUUGAAAUAAUAUUUGAAAAUCCCCGUCUAAUUAAGAAGACUGUGUUAGUGUCUUCAGGCUGCCGUAACAAAAUACCACAGACUAGGCGGCUUAAACAACAGUAUUUUAUUUCUUACAGUUUGGGAGGCUGGGAAAUCCAAGAUCAAGGUGCCAGUGAAUUUGGUUCUUGGUGAGGUCUCUCUCCCUGGCUCUUGUAAGGUCAUCAGUCCUAUCAGAUUAGGGCCCUGCCCUUAUGACCUCAUUUAACUACCUCCUCAAGUCCCUACCUGCAAAUACAGUCACGUUGGGGGGUUAGGGCUUCAACAUACGACUUUCGGGGGAACACAAACAUUCAGUCCAUAACAAACAUCAUUCACUUAAAAAA
Non-coding RNA from Vicugna pacos (alpaca), 989 nucleotides. Lineage: Eukaryota; Metazoa; Chordata; Mammalia; Artiodactyla; Camelidae. The record is from RefSeq and is a predicted model, not a curated record.